CAUGUUUCAUCAUGCUGUGCGGUCCUGGACCUGCUUGGUUUCAAAACAGAACUAACACUGUUUACAGUUGCGAGCGAGUAUUUGUUGAAGUGUCAGCCUGGACGAAACUUGUCUGACACUAUUUACUUAUUAAUUUGAGUCAUCAGUGCAGAUCUGCAACAGUGUGUUUCAAGCUUGUUGCAGCAGACAGGACUGUAGGCCAUUCAGGUGCAACAGGUGUGUGAGCAGGUAGCUGACAAGCCGAGGUAAAAGUGAACAGGACGAUAUGCAUUAUGAUCAGCAGAGUGUGUCGCCUUUGCUGCUGCAGCUUAUGAGGCCUACAUGUUAACCUACACAAGAAAAGCAACGAGAAAUCCUCACUCAGGUGGAGAGCAAAUCAUCCUCACAGGGGAGGAUAUUUCAGCACUUUUUCAGCACUGCAGAAAGCUUGGACCUGCGGCCUACAGGAACUGCAGGUCAGACGGGGUGACUGAGGGGCCUCCCGUCCAGCCCGUCUAGAGAGGAGAAUCAUCUAAACACUGAACUCUGAUGACCUACCUGCUAUAGAAUACACAAAGAAUAUGCUCACAUACAACAUUGCCGGGAUGCAUUGCUGGGACAGGCUCCAGCCCACGGGGACCCUGAUUAAGAAUGAGCAGCUAAGGGAAAUGAAUCAACAGUAUAUCCAGGGAAGUUUCCCCGUUCAUGGAAGGGCGUCUUCCGCCUUAAACUGUGUGCCGUUCUCAUUUCUAAAUGUUGGUUACAGUCACUCUCCUGAGAUUUGUGACUCUGUUGUGCCCGCUGCCUCCCAGUUCUGCUAAAAAUAAAGAAAUCCAUUGUCUGUAAACAACUUGGGUGAUUUACAGCAGCAUCCCACCCCUCAAUGGAAGAUAGAAACUCUGUACAAUAAAGCAUACUCCAGUCCCCAGAAGGCAGACCCUGCAGAAGUGUGUGUGUGUGUGUGUGUGUG
Molecule: long non-coding RNA, 949 nt
Organism: Myripristis murdjan (pinecone soldierfish)
Lineage: Eukaryota; Metazoa; Chordata; Actinopteri; Holocentriformes; Holocentridae
Exons: 2
Source: RefSeq, a predicted model, not a curated record